UUUUUUUUUUUGGUAAAGUUUUUGGGGAAAGUCCCAUAAGCAAUGCCUGGGGCAAUAAUUCCUCAGCCAUUUAUCAACUGCAAUAGCCCACUUCAUAUUCACUUUUUAAUUUCAAUGACUUAACGCAGUCUAAAUCUUUAAUAAAAUGCUCUUCAAUUGUACUUUAAGGUAUCUUACUGCAGUUCCAAAUUCUGCCUAUUUCUAGAUACAACUAUUGUACCCAAAAUCAGGAUACCAUGCUUUAACUCAAGCCAAGGAGCACUGGGGUGUGUGGCUUUGGGCCUUUUUAACCAUCACAGGAUGUCUACAAGACACUUCAUAGGGAUGCACUGAAUAAAUUUGACUCCAUGUAACCCUAGUUUUGAGUUUGCUUCUCAGACAUUGGCUUUUCAUUCUGUCCAUCCUUGAACUUCCUAUCUCCUUCCGUCAACUGCUCCUGACCUCAGUUUGUCCACUCAGCACUUUUUGUGCAUGCUUGUUGAUGACAUGUCCAUGACCCCAACAUCUGACCUCAAGUGUAUAUCCUGUUUUCAUGUUUGAACAGGCUCUGGUGGUUCAGGGGAGCUUGUUUAUGAAUCUUAAAUCCCCACUCAAUUAAUAGCCUCUGGAAGUAAAGCCAUACUUCACCUGUAGUAAGUCAAAUACAGACUGAGUUGUCUCGUUAAUCUCUGAAUGAUCAGUCCUUGGACUUCUAUUAUAACAUUUAAUAGGACCCGACCUCAGUGAGCUCACAAGCUGGUACGAGAGCAAGUUAUCUUUAACAACCAUUAAAAAAAAAAAAAAUACCACAAAGGGAGUGCAUACAAAGGGCAAGGGAAGAGACAAGACAAAAUGCAAAGAGCCAGAACAUUAUGGUUCAGGAAGAGAUUAAUGUUCACAAGGGGAUCCAAGAGAUUGCACUCAGAACAGGUGGUAUUUAUAAAGUACUACGAAGACUAAUGCUUCCACUAACAGAAGAAGAGCUGAUGCUGAGAAGACAGGUAGAACAUAAGCUCUGUAGGACUUUGUAGUCAACGUUGCCAAUAUAAGGACAAAGUUGAAAGGAGAAAACUCUACAGGACACAGAACUUCAAUCUUUUACCCAUACUCUAUUCAAACCCCUCUCUGGCUUCUUCUCUGCCCAUUGGGUGAAAUCUAGCGCAGUUCUUUUGACUCUGCUUGCUCAUUCUCUUUCAUCUCAGUAAUGAAAACAACCGACCCUGUGCAAUGGCCAAAAAUACCAAAUUUCAUUGCAAGUCAAAACAUCUUUCCUUUUGCAGAUUUGGGAGGUUAGUAAUAUUUUUUUUUAUGCCUGGACUCCUAUUUUCCUUCUUCCCAGCUUGCUAGCCCAGGGUAUAGGGAGGUGUGGGCAGAGGCACAGGAAGGAGGAGGGAGAAGAAAAUGUCUUCCUAGAUUGAGACAGUUGUGAUCAUCCACUGGUGCCCUCUGAGGUUGGUUAAUGUUCAGAGCUGACCUUUUCUCUCUAAUGGCCUGAUCUGUGGACCCUUAACUAAUUGUCUUUGGGGAACAUUUGACUACACCUCUGUUAACAGGAAGUAUUAGUUACCUAUUACCACAUAGAUACAUAUAAAAUACCCUUAAAACAAAACUAUUUAUUACCUCACAUUCCUGAGCCCAGGAAUCCAGGAUCAGUUUAGCUGGGUGGUUCUGGCUCAGGGUGUCCCAGAAAACUUUGCUAGGGAAUCAGUCAUCUGAAGAUUUGACUAGGAUGGAAAAAUAUUUCUAAAAUGGCUUAAUUAACACAGCUGUUGGCUUGAGGCUUCAGUUCCUAGCUAUGAGAUACUCUCCUUAGGAUUGCUCCAGUGUCCUUAUAACAUGGCAGGGGGUUUCUUAUAACACCCUCCUUCACCCCAGCUUGAAGUCCUUUGGAGGAAAGUCCCUUUUAAGGCAACCUCCAUCUGAUCACUCCAAAAGAAGAUUCACCUGGUUUACAAUACCAAAGUAGUCCCCAAAGUAGCCACUUCUCUUUGCUUCACUACUAGGAAAUAGCAAAACCUCUUGUCCUUAAGAUUCUUGAGAUGUGGGUCAGACAUGAGGUCCAGGAGCACAUACUUAUCUCUUAAAUGGACUCUCUCCAGCCUUCCUCGCUAGUCUUGGGAUGAAUAAACAUCAUACACAGAAGAGGUAGGGCAGGGAAAAUGCCAUGACAUUAUAAAAACUUUCUUCUCAGCCCAGUACCCACCUCAAAAAUAUCAAAACAGUUGACAUUGAAGAGGUCAGGAGCCAAUAAAAACACUUAGAUCACACCCUUUGAAAUGUCUGUAUGAAGUUUUUGCCACCUACUUUGUGCUAUUGAAAGCUUCAUCCAAAAGUGAGAGUACACAUUCUGUUUAAACAUUUUGUUAUACAAGGGUAAGGAUUUUGUCAGUGCGAGUGUUAGCUCUACUCUGCAUUUUGAAAGGUGUUUGUCUUUGGGUUUCCCAAGAGAGACCCAAAGGCAAGGACUUGACUGCAAGCGGUUUAUUUGGGAAGUAAUACCAGGAAAUAGUUGUAGGGAAAUGGAAGAAAAUAAAGGAGCAAAUAAAUGCUGUAUUAUAAAAUUAUUUACUACUGUGGGCAAUGGGAGCUGAAUCCUCUGAGAAAUUCCUGGAAACAGCAAAAAAUAUACCUACCGUUGUCCACUACCAAAGGACAAAAAUGCCUGUGUAUUUAUAUACCAACUUCCUGUUCAUCAUUGAUUGAGGAGACUGCUUUCUGGGCAUUAAUUAACUCUCUAAAACUUCUGGUUUGCACUACUUGGAGGCUGAAUACCAAGCUAUCCCUGGUUGGAGUGAGUGCCAAGGGGAUGUAGACUGGGUAUCAGUAGUAUCUGUGAUAUCAAGUGACCUUGGAAAUUUAGAAAUAAAUGUUUUGUCCUCCCACAGUUUUUGUCCUUGAAUCAACCCCUGCCUGCUCCAAAUACAAAGACCAACUCUAUAAUGCCUUGCUUCAGAUAUCUUGGCAGAAACUGGAAAUAGAAGCAGCUAGAAUCAAUGUCUUUCCUUACUUUUUUUAAAGGCUGAACUCUACAGAAAAGAAAACAGUUGUCUGUAGGGGAAAGAAGAGAGAGCAAGAACAAAGAAAGGAGAGAUUCUGGAAAAAAAAAAUCAUCAGAUCCCUUUAUAAGCAAGUCUUAGCACACUGCUCAGUUGCAGAACCCAUAGAGAUGGAUUCAACAAAAGUGGACUAUAUUCUAGGCAUGGAAAAUACUGCUUUCACAGAGCUUAAAUUCUAAUUGGGGCAAGUGGGGUGGUGACAGGAAUAGAAAAUAUCAAAUAUUAAAAUAUAAGCUAUGCUAUACAGAAAAUAAACCAAAAUGAUGUGAUAGAGGGAGAGUGAUUACUUUAUAUUGGGUGGUCUCAAAGCCUCCUCUGAGCACAUAGUUGAACUUAGACCUUAAUUUUAAAAAUGAGCCAAUCAUGGGAAGAUCUGAAGAAAGAUGAACAGAGAGGACAGAAUUUAGCCUUAGCAUUUAGGCUUAGCUCACCUAAGACUUUAGGAGCAUUCUAUAAUCCUUAGGGGAAGAAAACCCCAAUAAUAAUUAAGACAUAUUUUUACCAACCCAGUUGGAUAGGCGCUCAAACAGAAUAAACUUGCUCUAAGGGGAAAAAAAGACAAUAAUAUAUUGUUUUGCAUCCCUGAGUGUACAAAAUGCUUCAUACUAAGGAUGAAAAGGAGAAAACUACAUAUGAGAAAGAUGAAAACAUGUAGUGACAGAUACGUUUAAGCAGCCUUAGUGGAUUAAUUUCACUAAAUUGAAUGUGAUCUCCACUAGCUCACUAUAAACUUAGUGUUGUCAUCCCCAAUUCACAUGUAAAGAAAAUGAGGAUCAAAAUAACAAAGAGACUUGCCCCAAUAACAGAGUUAUUGAGUAUCGCAUUUGGAGUUAAGACGCAAUCUCUCUACAAAAGUCAUUUUCCACCAUU
Molecule: long non-coding RNA, 3905 nt
Filed under: Sus scrofa (pig)
Lineage: Eukaryota; Metazoa; Chordata; Mammalia; Artiodactyla; Suidae
Description: lncRNA (ENSSSCG00030019022.1, ENSSSCG00150034314.1)
Source: RNAcentral